GCGGGCAUAGCUCAGUGGUAGAGCGUCUCGUUGCCAACGAGAAGGUCGAGGGUUCGAGUCCCUUUGCCCGCUCCA
Molecule: transfer RNA, 75 nt
Filed under: Pelagibacterales bacterium MED-G40
Lineage: Bacteria; Pseudomonadati; Pseudomonadota; Alphaproteobacteria; Candidatus Pelagibacterales
Description: tRNA-Gly
Rfam family: tRNA
About the family: Transfer RNA (tRNA) molecules are approximately 80 nucleotides in length.
Source: RNAcentral